This 408-nucleotide ribosomal RNA is filed under the name Triticum aestivum (bread wheat). Its description in RNAcentral is "partial small subunit ribosomal RNA". The record is from RNAcentral. Lineage: Eukaryota; Viridiplantae; Streptophyta; Magnoliopsida; Poales; Poaceae.
AUGUCUAAGACGCAACGGAAUAGCAACGUUUCUUUCUAUAUGAUAAUAUGCACCGAGGGGAGGAGAUGCCUUAAAAUUGGUUUCUUCUUUUCAAGAGUUGGGAUUGAAGGAUUUGCUAAUGCCCGACCCUUCUCGACUAGAAACUCUUCCGCUCCUCCGGACCUUUGGAAAACCAAGAAGCAGAAUGCAGUGUCUGCUAUGAUUGCCCCAGAUGUAAGUUGGCCUCCCCCAGCCACAACUAUUUUAGCCGAUUUUUUCUUUUGGAUAUGGCAAGUGGUUGUAACUGCUAAAUACAAAUCAAUGAAUGUACUUGAACUGCCGGUAUCAAUAAGGGCAAUGCCUGUUUGUCCACCAAUAGUGACCUUGACUGAAAAUGUGCCAGCAGUGACCUGCCCUGAAACUGCAUGA